GCCGCGUUGGCGUAGUGGUAGCGCGUCUCACUUGUAUGCCACACAUGUCCAUCAUGAUGCUUGCAAUGAGAAGGUCACUCGUUCAAUCCGGGUACGUGGCA
Molecule: non-coding RNA, 101 nt
Organism: Lyophyllum atratum
Lineage: Eukaryota; Fungi; Basidiomycota; Agaricomycetes; Agaricales; Lyophyllaceae
Source: the annotation of a GenBank genome assembly